This 298-nucleotide ribosomal RNA is filed under the name uncultured eukaryote. RNAcentral describes it as "partial 18S ribosomal RNA". It matches the Rfam family "Eukaryotic small subunit ribosomal RNA", at positions 1470 to 1796 of the family's 1831-position model. The record is from RNAcentral.
CCCUUAGAUGUUCUGGGCUGCACGCGCGCUACACUGACGCACACAACGAGUCUCCUAGCUCGAGAGGGCUGGGUAAUCAUUUGAGAGUGCGUCGUGAUGGGGAUAGAAUAUUGUAAUUAUUACUCUUCAACGAGGAAUUCCUAGUAAGCGCGAGUCAGCAGCUCCUUUGUACACACCGCCCGUCGCUCCUACCGAUGGGGUGAUCCGGUGAAUGAUUCGGACUCUGUAGACUCGCCAUGAGUUUUGACGGAGAAAGUCUUGUGAACCUUAUCACUUGGAGGAAGGAGAANUCGUAACA